GACGUACCACCCAAACGUUAUUCGGAAUCACUGGGCUUAAAGAGUCCGUAGGCGGCCAGGAAAGUUGGGUGUGAAAUACCUCAGCUCAACUGAGGAAUUGCGCUCAAAACUACCUGGCUCGAGAAAGACAGAGGUGAGCGGAACUGAUGGUGGAGCGGUGAAAUGCAUUGAUAUCAUCAGGAACACCGGUGGCGAAAGCGGCUCACUGGGUCUUUUCUGACGCUGAGGGACGAAAGCUAGGGGAGCGAACGGG
Molecule: ribosomal RNA, 253 nt
Filed under: uncultured bacterium
Lineage: Bacteria
Description: partial 16S ribosomal RNA
Rfam family: Bacterial small subunit ribosomal RNA
Source: RNAcentral